This 27-nucleotide non-coding RNA is filed under the name Mus musculus (house mouse). The record is from RNAcentral. Lineage: Eukaryota; Metazoa; Chordata; Mammalia; Rodentia; Muridae.
UAACAGAGAUAUCAUCUGCCAGAUUGC